UUUAGAAUCUGUACGCUUUGU
Molecule: microRNA, 21 nt
Filed under: Tribolium castaneum (red flour beetle)
Lineage: Eukaryota; Metazoa; Arthropoda; Insecta; Coleoptera; Tenebrionidae
Description: tca-miR-927b-5p
Gene: tca-miR-927b-5p
Source: miRBase by way of RNAcentral